This 1185-nucleotide long non-coding RNA is filed under the name Anas platyrhynchos platyrhynchos (common mallard). RNAcentral's name for it is "lncRNA (ENSAPLG00000026603.1)". Lineage: Eukaryota; Metazoa; Chordata; Aves; Anseriformes; Anatidae. The record is from RNAcentral.
GGUGGGGGGUUAACCGAAAUCGGGGGGGUUGGGGGCGUUUUUUGGGGGCGGGGUUGGUGGUGGGGUGGGAAAUGACGUGGUGGGACCCCAAAUUACGUGGUGGUGGGACUCCAUUCCACAUGGUAGGACUCCAACCCCUCGUGGUGGGACCCCAAAUUACGUGGUGGGUCCCCAAAUUACGUGGUGGGACCCCAACUGACAUGGUGGGACCCCAAACUACGUGGUAGGACCCCAAAUUACGUGGUGGUGGGACUCCAUUCCACAUGGUAGGACUCCAACCCCACGUGGUGGGACCCCAAACUACGUGGUGGGACGCCAAAUUACAUGGUGAGACCCCAAAUUACGUGGUGGGACCCCAAAUUACGUGGUGGGUCAACAAAUAAUGUGGUGGGACCCCAAAUUACGUGGUGGGACACCAACCUACGUGGUGGUGGGACUCCAUUCCACAUGGUAGGACUCCAACCCCACGUGGUGGGUCACCAAAUUACGUGGUGGGUUGCCAAAUUACGUGGUGGGACCCCAAAUUACGUGGUGGGACCCCAAAUUACGUGGUGGGACACCAGCCUACGUGGUGGUGGGACUCCAUUCCACAUGAUAGGACUCCAACCCCACGUGGUGGGACCCCAAACUAGGUGGUGGGACCCUAAAUUAUGUGGAGGAACUCCAAAUUACGUGGAGGGACCCAAAAUUACGUGGUGGAACCCCAAAUUACGUGGAGGAACUCCAACCUACGUGGUGGUGGGACUCCAUUCCACAUGGUAGGACUCCAACCCCACGUGGUGGGACCCCAAACUACGUGGUGGGACGCCAAAUUACAUGGUGAGACCCCAAAUUACGUGGUGGGACCCCAAAUUACGUGGUGGGUCGCCAAAUUACGUGGUGGGACCCCAACCUACGUGGUGGUGGGACUCCAUUCCACAUGGUAGGACUCCAACCCCACGUGGUGGGACCCCAAACUAGGUGGUGGGACCCCAAAUCACAUGGAGGAACUCCUAAUUACGUGGUGGGACCCCAAAUUACAUGGUGGUGGGACACCAACUGACAUGUUGGGACACCAAAUUACGUGGUGGGACACCAACCUAUGUGGUGGGACCCCAUCCCCACGUGGUGGGCCACCAACCUGCGUGCUUGGCGAUGCUCUUGCCGAGGGGCUCGGGGAGGUCCUCGUGCUGCACGGUGCAGGUG